RNAcentral lists this long non-coding RNA (268 nucleotides) under Lathyrus oleraceus (garden pea). RNAcentral's name for it is "Pisum sativum (pea) long non-coding RNA (PSAT_LNC038843)". The record is from RNAcentral. Lineage: Eukaryota; Viridiplantae; Streptophyta; Magnoliopsida; Fabales; Fabaceae.
AAAGAUCAGAAUGGAUCAUACGCUGCUGGGGAUAAAGGAUCAGAAUGGAUCAUACGCUAGACCGUAUCUGAAUUGCAGACUGAACCGUCUAUUAGGCUGCCUUUGGAGAAGUAAAGAUCAGAAUGGAUCGUACGUUAGAUCGUAUCUGAGUAGCAGAAUGAGUUAUCCAUUAGGCGGGUGACUUCGCUGGGGAUGAAAGAUCAGAAUAGAUCAUACGCUAGAUCGUAUCUGAGUUGCAGAAUGAGCCAUACGUUAGGCUGUAUCUGAC